AGAAUGAGCAGCAGCAGCAGCAACAGUCGAUCUGAUGAGCACAAACAGCAGCAACAAUGGUUUGGAAGGCUGCAUUGUUUGCUCUUCUCUGGAGCGAGCAAGCUCCUUUUAUGGGCAACGUCCGGCCCAUCCAUCUGUGGAGUAACGUAAGAGGCCUGUUCUCGAGGGGUGGUGGCAAGAAGCAACUUAAGCUGGAAGCCGUUUUGGUUUAUGCUUAACAUCCGAGAUUGACACAAUCACAAGGUGGAAGAUUCUACUUCCUUGUACAAGCCUCAAAAAUCCAGGACACCAGGAAAAGAUGGAAGUUUCAUCUAUGAUCUCUCUCAUCAGCUAUGUGUGAUCGGGCGGAAGCGAUUCAUCACAAGGAAAAGAGCUCUUCAAUCGAUGAGAGAAGGAAGUUGUGAUCGUCUGGGCGGUGGUGGUGGCGAUGGUAGCAGCAGGAGCGCAGGGCGUGAAGCUACUCUCAGCGAGGAAUCCAUUCCAGUCAACCAAACGCUGGCGGAUCUCGAUCAUGGCACUUACUGGAACAGCCUCAACCAGACGCUUUCGACUGUGUCGCAGGACUCGACAACACUGCUCCCACUUCCAGGUGUGAUCCUGUGCGAGAGAGUGGAAAGAAAAAAGAAAGAGAUCUUCCAUAAAAGCUUGGAGGAGAUCUUCUUUACGUUCCAGCGACCAAGUCGAGAAGAAAUAAACAUCCAAUAAAGGCCCCCGUGAUAAAAGUGGAGGACGAUUAACCUCCAACCCACAUCGCCAAUUGGAAGCAUCCAGGUCGUGGACCGCGCCAGGAAAUGUGAAACAGAGCCCAGCGAUGCUGCUUUCUCGGGC
Molecule: long non-coding RNA, 828 nt
Organism: Selaginella moellendorffii
Lineage: Eukaryota; Viridiplantae; Streptophyta; Lycopodiopsida; Selaginellales; Selaginellaceae
Exons: 3
Source: RefSeq, a predicted model, not a curated record